Molecule: ribosomal RNA, 472 nt
Filed under: uncultured bacterium
Lineage: Bacteria
Description: bacterial SSU rRNA
Rfam family: Bacterial small subunit ribosomal RNA
Source: RNAcentral
UGGGGAAUCUUGGACAAUGGGCGAAAGCCUGAUCCAGCCAUGCCGCGUGGGUGAAGAAGGCCUUCGGGUUGUAAAGCCCUUUUGUACGGGAAGAAAUCCUGUCGGUUAAUACCCGGCGGGGAUGACGGUACCGUAAGAAUAAGCACCGGCUAACUUCGUGCCAGCAGCCGCGGUAAUACGAAGGGUGCAAGCGUUAAUCGGAAUUACUGGGCGUAAAGCGUGCGUAGGCGGUGAGUUAAGUCUGUCGUGAAAGCCCUGGGCUCAACCUGGGAAUGGCGAUGGAUACUGGCUCGCUAGAGUGUGAUAGAGGAUGGCGGAAUUCCCGGUGUAGCGGUGAAAUGCGUAGAGAUCGGGAGGAACAUCUGUGGCGAAGGCGGCCAUCUGGAUCAACACUGACGCUGAGGCACGAAAGCGUGGGGAGCAAACAGGAUUAGAUACCCAAGUAGUCCCUGAGCGGGCUGGCAAGGCGCAU